GAUGAACGCUGGCGGCGUGCCUAACACAUGCAAGUCGAGCGAUUCUCUUCGGAGAAGAGCGGCGGACGGGUGAGUAACGCGUGGGUAACCUGCCCUGUACACACGGAUAACAUACCGAAAGGUAUGCUAAUACGAGAUAAUAUGCUUUAUCGCAUGGUAGAAGUAUCAAAGCUUUUGCGGUACAGGAUGGACCCGCGUCUGAUUAGCUAGUUGGUAAGGUAACGGCUUACCAAGGCGACGAUCAGUAGCCGACCUGAGAGGGUGAUCGGCCACAUUGGAACUGAGACACGGUCCAAACUCCUACGGGAGGCAGCAGUGGGGAAUAUUGCACAAUGGGCGAAAGCCUGAUGCAGCAACGCCGCGUGAGCGAUGAAGGCCUUCGGGUCGUAAAGCUCUGUCCUCAAGGAAG
This 409-nucleotide ribosomal RNA is filed under the name uncultured bacterium. Its description in RNAcentral is "bacterial SSU rRNA". It matches the Rfam family "Bacterial small subunit ribosomal RNA", at positions 28 to 447 of the family's 1533-position model. The record is from RNAcentral.